UUUCCUCCUCGGCAUCGCUCCGGUGACCGCGGGCUGUGCCAGCCGGCCGCCCAGAUAGGUUGCGUGGCAGCCACGGCGCGAGCGAAUAGAACUCCUUGGAUGCGUCGGAAGUGAGCGCCGGGAGCAUUUGGUGAUCUUUGUGGGAGGAAGGCAAAGCCACCCAGGCCCCGUUCCCUCCAUCUUGAGCCUUCCAUGGUGAUUUGCAGCAGCACAGGGAAGUAUGAAGCACCGAGGGACAGAAGUCAGUGUUUAAACCUGACUUCAGUAUUAACGACCACACAAGUUUCAGAUAACAGAGGACCAGGGCUAGAAUAGCAGAAGUACUUAAGGUGCCUCUUUAAAAAGUUCUCUUGUGCAUAUCUAAAGAUUAGGAAGCUGUUUAGAAAAGGUGGUUAUACAAGUGUUUUUAUUUACUGUCUGAACAGAAGAUGAUGAUCCGCAUUAUCUUACGUGCACCUUGGAAGCAUCUGUAUCACUAUAUAGAUUUCAGGGGCUGCAUUGAUUUAAGUUAGAAAGAUACCAGUGAAGUUUUAAAUAAUCGGUAUAAUAUUCUCCCUCUCUUUCAGUCAGAUUUGCCCUUCAUGUUACUUGUGUUUCAUAAUCCUCCUAGCUCUCCAUUUCGUCAUUACAAGACCAGCAUCUCUACUGUUAAAAAAAAAAAAGAGAAACAGAGAGCCCCCCCCCAACUCCACCAGGAAAAAAAAAAGUCUUUUUACAAUCUGUUAUUUAUAUCAAUGUUUAAAUAAAUUUAGGGCACAAACUGAUCCUGUUUUUUUAAUAGGCUUAUUUAGUUUCAUUUAUUUACACAGGUAUUUUUUUGGAAGCUCUCAGGAAGAGACUGUGUUUGAUGCAGCAAUACCCUUUAGGGUUUUGAUAAAAGACAUGAUAUCAUGAGUCUCAUCACCACUUCUGUUAUUGUUCUUAUAUAGUAGCGACAAGAUUGAAUCACCAUUUUUAGCUAUUCUUCAGCAGAACUUGUAAUCUAUCAAUGUGUCAGCUCAACAGCAGUUUUCUCUUCACACUAAUGUGAACCAGAAGGUCCAGCUAUCACUGAUUUUGACAAUUUUAUUUUAUCUGAGAUGGCAUGUAUUGCAGAAGUUUGAAGCAGAUGAAUUAUAGGGCCUGUUAUAUUUUCCUAAAGAUGUACAAAACAUAGAAUACGUCACUCGAAAUAUUUCAAACUAAUUUGUAUCGAUAACAUUCCUAUGCUUGGUGCUUCAUAAGCCUUAUGCUAGAAGCACUAUUAAAUAUUUGUCUGAUAAAUAACAAGAAUGGGAUCAAAUGUGGGUCCUGUAGUUUUUUGAAUGCCUCACAUUGCCCUCUCUGUUGUUACAUAAUGCAUCAUAAAGAAAUACGUGCCUUCAUUCUCUUUAAAUCAGUCCGGCAUGGAUAGUACUAAGCCUUCCUUCAAGUCCUUGUUAUGCAAGUCCUUGCUACUGCUAAUAGCUGUCUGCUCUGCAUGGUUACUUAAAAAGCAAGGUAGCUGCAGACUUUUUGUGAAACUCCUUGCAUUUCUGGAAUUUUCAGUUAGGUGAUUCCAGCUGUGUUGCUCUCUUUCUCAGCUAUAGAAUAAAUUAUUACGAACAAACAGGUUUUCCCUCAUUAGAAUAAAGUCUCAUUCAUUCCAGUACAUCAGAAAGUGGCCAGUUUUUUGUUGAGUUGCGUCUACAAGCACAUUAUAAGUAUCUGAAUGCACUUCAGUGUCAAAACAGUGCAAUAGACCAUAAUGCAGUUAUAUUUUGAAUGUCUGUUGGAGAACACAGGCAUAUAACUAAGUACUGAAAAAAUACAUAGCACAGUGAAAAAUCGAUGACCAAUCUAGCAAAGCUAUUAGGUAACAAAAAAAUCCAUAUGGGCAUUAAGUACUAUUAUUUAAAGUAAAAUCUGUGUUAUACAGUAUAACCAGCAUUCAAGUGAAAUUAAUGAAACAUCUAUCUAGAACAGAAAGAAUCAUUUUUUAAAUCUAUGAUACGACAUGCUGUAUUUCUUUACUUGGAAAGUGGAAUUUGGUCGUAAUUUUGUAAAGGUAUAAAAUUAACAACAAGCACUUCAGAGAAAUAGGAAUGCUGCCUGAUUUGGAUUUUUUUUCCCUCUGUAAAACACAGAGAUAAUUAGCGGCAAAAAAUCAGGAAAAACCUGUCUGGGUUUUCCAAUAUAAUGUAGAUAUUUUCAAGUACUCCGUCCUUUAAGAGGGCCUUGGUUUUAAACAGACUGAAAUAGGAAUAUCUCAAAAUUCAUCUUACUGAUUAUACUUAAUUUUUUCCUCUCUUCCUUUUUACUCGUAGAAUAUGCAAGUAGUAACUCAGCGAUGUGUCACCAGGAAAGGAGGAUUUAUUUCAUAUUCACUUAGCAGAUCUAUUAGUUUAACAAUCCUUUGUUGCAUUUCUCAAUUUCUUUACCUUUUUUGUUACUUUUGUAAAUUUGUGGUACUGGCUUAUUUGUUUAUUUCCAUUUUCCUACUUCUAAUUAUUUUGAAAAGUUCAACUAUAAUCUGUUCAGAUUUUGGUAUGACACAUGAAAAACAUUUUUUUCAAUUCUUUUUGCAAGCAGUAGGUUGGUGGGAGGAGGUCUGCAUUGUAAAAUAGUGUACCUACAAAACUGUUCUUCAGUGGGAGAUUAAAUAAUAAAGAGCAGGAUGACUGAGACAAGUCAUUUGUCACAGAUGUUCAUGCAGUUCUGGUGUUUUAUUUUAAGCUGGAUUCAUCAAAUGUGCUAAGGAGUAAUUUCUGUCUGAUAUGAAGUUCCCAUCAAAGGAGACUAAGUGGUUUAAGUUUAAACUGUGGUUUGAAAAUACAGGGAAAUGUUACUGGACCGGUGACAGUUUGAUUUGGUAGCCAAAGUGGACACAAGGAAGUAAAUUGGAGAAUGCUAUUUUUGGCCUAAAAUGUGAGGAAAACACAUCACUACUGUAUUACUGUGGAGCAGUGACUUUACCUAGAAGAUGGUUUUAUCUAUGAAGCACAAAGAUUUUACCGCAGGCAUCUGAAUUAUGCAGAUUGUAAAGGGUACCGAUGCCGUUGGGAAGCAAGCAUGAAAUGGUGAUGUGUGAACGUCCGAUAUCUGAGCGACAUUUACUGACCAAUUUUACAGUAUUUUGCAAGUUUAUAAUAUAGGUUUAGUGUUAGUUUUAUUUAGUGAAAAUGGAGGAGGUAAGCACUAGUGUAAUAUUGAUUUCGGGUUUUUUAGAUAGGCUAGUUAUCAUAUUUAGCAAAGUACAAUACGAACAAGAAGGCCCGGGACUAAGAUUACUUUAAAAGGAAGAUUUAAAAAAAAAAACAGUAUUGGACUUAUUCUUAGUUUAUAUUAGUUGCUCUCUCUUUUAAUAUAAUUUUCUCUUUUCUUAAGUUCCGUCUCUCCCUUCAGAAAUGCUGUGUCCCAGCCCUGAAAUGGAGGAAUAUAAUGGCUACAAUUAGCUUCUGUUUACUGGAGGAAAAUUAUUUUUUCCCAAAAUGAAAUACAUGCAUUAAUUUGCUGGACUUGCAGCAAUUUUUACAUGUGGUAUUUUUGAGAAAGAGAUCGUAAUGUCCAUUUUAAUGCAGCUUACCGCAGUAUAGCUGCCGUAAUUGAGCAUUUUUCUCUUUGGUAGUCAGGUACACUGAAUUGUCAGGCUGUUUGCUUUUAAGCACCUGAAAACUAAAUUUUAAAAAAGUAUAUUUAAUACGAUAAGUUUUGCUUUCCAGUCUGUACUUUCUUUUGAGUUUUUCAGGUAAAUACUGCGCAGAUUGAUUAUCAGAAAAAUUGAGGCUUACAUAAUCGGGACAUACUUUUUUUCUACUGCCUCCCUUCCCCCACUUAGCUUUCAUUUUACUAUGAAAAAUGAAAAAUUUUGAAAAGAAAAUUACUAUGACAUACUGAUUAUACACACAUUUUCAUGGAACUGCACAGCUAAGCUAUUUGUAUGUAUUUAGUAAAAGAAAGCAGCAAGCAAAAUAUUAAAACCUUGAGACGCCUAAACUUUAAAAUUAUAGUCGUCAUUAAAUACAGCUUUAUCUGAGAUGCUGUACCUAGCUCUGUAACAAUGAAUCUUUUUUCUUUGCAUAGGGAAUUAGAGUACUUCUAUGUAGUCUUUAUUCAGAAUAAAAAAAAUUAUAAUGUCGUACUCCAUUUUUUUAUUCGUCAUAAAGCUGAUGCUCCUUCGUAAGGCAGUUGGUUUAAUACCUAACUUUCAGAGGAUGAUUUUCAGUGAUUGCUAUUGACAAAAUAUAAGCAAAUGAAUCAGAACCCUGUCCUGGUAGAUAAUUACAAAUUGAAUUAACUAAAAAGAAUAAUAUUAAAAUUUUAUCUAAAUAUGUUAACAUGAGCUCUUACCCAUAGGUGGCAGUCAUCUUUCACUCUAGCAGGGAUGCCAAACUUCUGGUUCGUGGUAUUCACGCUUAUACUGAAAUAAUUUUGGUGAGGUAUGCGUAUGUACAUAAGAAUAUACAUGUCUGCAUUUUGGAAGAGGGGGAAGAAGGUGAAAUUAAUCAUAAAAUUAGGUAGUAAUUAGGAGGAAUCUGAACUGCUGUGUAUAAGCAGUAAGAUAAGGAAUGAUCGUAUUCUGGAGAAGAUGUAGAGAUAUUUAUAAAACCACAGAAACACAUUUUUUACCAAUCCAUUGCUGACGCUCCUCAAAAUAAAGUAGUGAUAGUUCAGAAACCAGUUAGCCCUACAAAUUGAGCAGAAAGGCAAGUAUCCUGCCAGCCUUAGUGAGCACAACCCCAUAUUGUGCCCCGUCCUCCAAACCACGUUUCUACUUUGUCACCCUUUAUCUGUAAAUUACAGAAGCACCACAGUGAUGAUGUUGCCCUGGAAAUCCCAGCAAUAAGGCCCCUUAAAUAUUGAGGAAAUACAGAAAAAGUGCUCUGGGUGAGGAUGUCCUUUCAGUCAUGGAGAGCAAGCAGAACCAGCGAGCUGUCGUGCUGUCCUGUGUCUCUUUGCAGGGCUGCGAUCGACACCCGUGGCAGUGCUGUGCAAGGGGAGGACGCUGCCUGCCCGAACAGAGAUCUGCUCAGUUUUGCCAUCAGCUUUUUUAGGGAUUUAAGUGGUUUAUGGGGAUUUCCUUUUGCAAUACCACUAAGGAGGCACUUGGGACCCCACCAAAACUGGAGGGGAUGGAAGGAGCGAAUAAGGCCAGGUCAUUUCAGGCUAAAACAAACAGAACUUGUGAAACUACAAAUGUGUCAUAGUGAGACGAUAACAUUCUUCUGAGAAAAGAGGACCGAAACCUGGAAUUCACGGGCAGAACCAGUGGGAAAAAAAGCUCUGUGGUCUGGGUUGGGCAAACAGAGAUGCCAUGAGACAGUGCAGAAGACGCUGGCCGUGGGAUGAAUUUGUGUACCAGCAAGAGCAGUAUCUACUCCAUCUGUCUUGGGCUCCACUUCAUCCAGGAAGACUUCCUUUUGAAAGGAGAGAUUCCAGUCAUGGUGACUCCAACCAGUAAAAGAGGUAGCCUCCCAGAUUUACUUAUCUCAGCCUCCUUGAAAGCAUCCCUAACUUCCUUGGCAGCAGUAACCAAACAAGAGCUGUAAAAUACUGUUUUCCCUGGUCUGGCUGAACUCACGACUCAGCAUAUGUGGUGGGGAGCUCCUAAAAUAGCUCUCUGUUGCCUCACCAGCCUCAGCAGCAACUUGAAAAGUCUUCUGCCUUCUGGGACAACUUGGAGAAGUUUUAAAAUGUUUGGACUUUGAAAGUACUGUGAAAGAUAAGAAUGAUCUAUUCCAAGGCCAGGUGAACCGAAGGUCACAGCUAAGGCAUUGCACAACAGACCCGAGUGGGUUCAGGACAAGAACUCUCUCAGGAUCUGAUCAGCUCAUCUAGAUUGCUGCAGCUGCCCCUGCCUAAAUUCAGGUUAAAGAUGAGUCCCUUUGACCUAGAACUUCACUGGGCCAAACAACCAUAAUAGUUUCUCCCAAAUAUUAGUGGGGUGAUGCCAAGUCAGAGGGCACAGGUUUUUCCCUGGCAGAGCUCUGUUGGAGAAGCCUUCUGAAAAAAACUAGCAAAACAGCUUUGUUUGUGAGGGGAAGCUGUAGCUGCUGCAGGACAAGUGUAUUCUCACUCUGGGAAGUUUUAAUGCACAUUUUCUCCUGGUCAAAGGCUAUUAUUCUCUGUCUGGAUCUUGUCACGUUUCAGGCUAUCUCUAGUUAGAACAAAACAUGAACAGCACUUACUGUAUUUAACAAGGGCUAUCCCCAAGCUGCAGUACUUCAGAGUAGCGUUCUUUGGGCUCUACAUGGACAACAUUGUGGUUUGUGCCCCUGGAGUAAUGAAAAUCCCCUCUCUCCGGUGAGGAAAGGCUCCUCUUUCUUGAAAAUAUAAUUUCCUCCCGAAAAACGACUCAGAAGGACCAUAUAUAUCUCUGGCUUCCCAUCCAGGGGGGAGAGGAGUUUUUCUGUUGACAUGUCUCUCAUUUCUGAGCACGGUCUCCAGUGCCUCAGCCAGAGCCCUCAGUAUAACUUUCUGCUGAGUCAGGCUGCUGGUUUUAUUAUCCCAAAUCCCAAACGGGUGGUUUCAAGUACUCCAGGCAUUUUUCAAAGAUAGCCUGAAACCCAGCCAAGCCCAUGGUGGGGGUGUAACCCUUCUCCCAACAGGUCUGCAGUUGGACUGGUUCUCUCCCAGGUCAGACAGCUGCAGAGUGCAGCUGCCACCCCCAGGGACAACCCCCCUCUGCCCCCAGAAUGAAGUUUGUGAUUUUUCAGCAGCAGUAAAUGAUCUCCCUGGGGGUUAUUUGACCACCAAAACUACACUGGCUUGGCUGAAGGAUUGAAGGGCUGAGGCUCAUGUCAAUAUCCAUUGACAGAUAUUAGUGGAUGCGGGCUGGAGACCCCUCCCCAGCCCCAAGUGUUCUUCCAGCCACUUUCACUUGCUGCUUGAAAGUCACCACUUCCCCAGCUCCUGUGUUUACAUGUCUGUCUAUGACCACAAUAAAACAGAAAAAAGGCAAAUGUG
Long non-coding RNA from Catharus ustulatus (Swainson's thrush), 6924 nucleotides. RefSeq lists it as uncharacterized. The transcript is spliced from 3 exons. The record is from RefSeq and is a predicted model, not a curated record. NCBI's taxonomy places the organism in Eukaryota, Metazoa, Chordata, Aves, Passeriformes, Turdidae.